CACGUCUAAGCAGUAAGGCUGAGUAUUAGGCAAAUCCGGUACUCGUUAAGGCUGAGCUGUGAUGGGGAGAAGACAUUGAGUCUUCGAGUCGUUGAUUUCACACUGCCGAGAAAAGCCUCUAGAUAGAAAAUAGGUGCCCGUACCGCAAACCGACACAGGUAGUCAAGAUGAGAAUUCUAAGGUGAGCGAGCGAACUCUCGUUAAGGAACUCGGCAAAAUGACCCCGUAACUUCGGGAGAAGGGGUGCUCUUUAGGGUUAACGCCCAGAAGAGCCGCAGUGAAUAGGCCCAAGCGACUGUUUAUCAAAAACACAGGUCUCUGCUAAACCGUAAGGUGAUGUAUAGGGGCUGACGCCUGCCCGGUGCUGGAAGGUUAAGAGGAGUGGUUAGCUUCUGCGAAGCUACGAAUCGAAGCCCCAGUAAACGGCGGCCGUAACUAUAACGGUCCUAAGGUAGCGAAAUUCCUUGUCGGGUAAGUUCCGACCCGCACGAAAGGCGUAACGAUUUGGGCACUGUCUCAACGAGAGACUCGGUGAAAUCAUAGUACCUGUGAAGAUGCAGGUUACCCGCGACAGGACGGAAAGACCCCGUGGAGCUUUACUGUAGCCUGAUAUUGAAAUUCGGCACAGCUUGUACAGGAUAGGUAGGAGCCUUUGAAACGUGAGCGCUAGCUUACGUGGAGGCGCUGGUGGGAUACUACCCUAGCUGUGUUGGCUUUCUAACCCGCACCACUUAUCGUGGUGGGAGACAGUGUCAGGCGGGCAGUUUGACUGGGGCGGUCGCCUCCUAAAAGGUAACGGAGGCGCUCAAAGGUUCCCUCAGAAUGGUUGGAAAUCAUUCAUAGAGUGUAAAGGCAUAAGGGAGCUUGACUGCGAGACCUACAAGUCGAGCAGGGUCGAAAGACGGACUUAGUGAUCCGGUGGUUCCGCAUGGAAGGGCCAUCGCUCAACGGAUAAAAGCUACCCCGGGGAUAACAGGCUUAUCUCCCCCAAGAGUUCACAUCGACGGGGAGGUUUGGCACCUCGAUGUCGGCUCAUCGCAUCCUGGGGCUGUAGUCGGUCCCAAGGGUUGGGCUGUUCGCCCAUUAAAGCGGUACGCGAGCUGGGUUCAGAACGUCGUGAGACAGUUCGGUCCCUAUCCGUCGUGGGCGUAGGAAAUUUGAGAGGAGCUGUCCUUAGUACGAGAGGACCGGGAUGGACAUACCUCUGGUGUACCAGUUGUCGUGCCAACGGCAUAGCUGGGUAGCUAUGUGUGGACGGGAUAAGUGAUGAAAGCAUCUAAGCAUGAAGCCCCCCUCAAGAUGAGAUUUCCCAACUUCGGUUAUAAGAUCCCUCAAAGAUGAUGAGGUUAAUAGGUUCGAGGUGGAAGCAUGGUGACAUGUGGAGCUGACGAAUACUAAUCGAUCGAAGACUUAAUCAA
This 1418-nucleotide ribosomal RNA is filed under the name Staphylococcus aureus. RNAcentral describes it as "partial 23S ribosomal RNA". It matches the Rfam family "Bacterial large subunit ribosomal RNA", at positions 1507 to 2925 of the family's 2925-position model. The record is from RNAcentral. Lineage: Bacteria; Bacillati; Bacillota; Bacilli; Caryophanales; Staphylococcaceae.